UGUAUGGUGUGUGUGUGUUUGGAAGAGGAGUAAAGAAGAGUGCAAUGUGGCACUUGGGGAAAGGACAGAGAUGCUGCAGGGAGAUAUUUGCUGAUAUUUUUGCUUUGAGGGCUGCAGUGUAACCCUCUCCUAUCUUCUACUUUCAAGAAAAUAAAGUUUUCAGAGAGGCUUCACGGUUGACCAAGGGUCUGUGUGAGCUGGAAGUGCAGCCUGGGGCUGUGCCAUGGCAGAGUGACACCGGAGGAGCAGGGGAGGUUUGAACAUAAGGGUUUUACAGCACCAAGAAACCUUAGCUCCAUUAUCUUACACUUGGAGGUCUCUCACGGAUAAAUCAGCUGCUUUUCAAAAUAGAAGAGACUUAUGAAAAUGUAUCACUUGGCAGACAUAGAAAGCAGCUGCUUAUCAUCAUUAAUUUUCAAUAAAUAUGUAUUAAGCAACAGGAUAUAGAUCACUCUGUGAGGUUCAGGACCUUGGGAAAAUACAGUAUCCUAGAGACAGCAUUAACACAAGGCACGACUCAAGGCCGCUCCUGUCAUCUACACCCCUCCCGCUCUGCACGGCUGACUCAGAGCCUCCUGGCCUGCGGAGGAGCAAGAGGCACUGCACAGGCCACAGCGGGUUGUGAUCCAGGAGAGGCCAUUGGUUGGGGCGGGGGGAUGUUAAUUCCUCUGAGGUUGUGGGCAGGGGAGAUUUUCUUGGAGGACAUUCAUUUCCCAGUGGGGAGGGAAGAUUGAGACUAUAAUGUCUCUAGGGAAAUUUAAUAAUUAAGGAAGGUCCACAUGAUGGAACUGUGGGCCAUUUUCUAUUUCAGGCCUUAUGGUUAUUUUGCCUUUACCAUAGGGCGGUGCUUAUCACCAGCAAGACUGACCAACAAACCAGCUGUGGAGGGAAAUUGAGAGUGGGCUCCCUGCUGAAGACAGUAGACAUGGCCAUCAAUUAAUGUCCUGUUUUCUCCCGUGCAGAGCCUCUCAGGGCCAAAGCUGGAUUGUACCGGGCUGGGAAAACAAAAAAUAAAUACAUGGGGAGAGAAUGUUGAGGGGUGACUUGCUAACCAGUCAGUUGAAUUCCAGGCACAGAUUGAGUUGCUUCUGGAGUGGGCAGGGUCACUGUGAACGCCUACGUGAGCCUCUUCUGCACCACACAGCAGAAACUUAUUGAAAUUGGCAUCUUUGGGAGCUCGCUGUCAUCUCUUCACAAAACAUCCCCACGGAAAGCCAAACUUUCCCUUAGCAAGCGUGGCAACGUCCCAGAGUGCAGCCUGGAUCCCGUCAAGGAUAUCACAUGAUACUUCCUUGUCAUGUUUCCUUAGGCUCAUCUUGACUGUCCAUUUCUCAGACCUUCCUUGAUUUUGGUGACCUUGACAAUGUUGAGGAACAGUGGUCAGAAACCAAGUGAUGGCAGCUUUGUGUGGGGCUAAUCAGCUUCAUCCAAGUGCAGUCUUCAUCUGAGUGCACCCUGACAGUGCCUUGUUCAGAUCUGCUCACACGUCUCUUGGCUACCAGCCUGUGACUUCUGAUAAUGCCAGGGCAUGGGAUGCCACAGGAACCCCUUGGUGCCCACAUAUACAUGACUCAGUUGUGCAGGAUAGUUAAUGCUCCACUUGAAAGCUCUUUAAACAAUGGGAGAAAGGAACCAAUAAAUAAACGUUUCCUACCCCACGCCACAGCACUGACUCUGAGUCACAUUUUCUGUGGUUUCUCGGAAGACAUCGUGGUGUUAAACACACAAUCUCCCAUCUCAGCGGCCAGUGUAGCUUGCAUUGACUCACUCUUCUUUGCUGAAAUGCUUUCCCUGUUCCUUAGCUUUGCUCUUGGGAUCAUAAUUCCCAAUGAAAGCUUUGAUCAACAGUGUUUCUCUCAGGUUUUCUUUUCGAAAGAACUUAGGCUAAGACAGAUCAAUACAGUGUUGUAACCAGCUAGUAUGCAUUCCUUCCAAAGAUUUAUUAAGUCCUCCUGUGUGCAAAGCAUCAUGGUAGGCUUGGAGACAACUGGGAAAAUAAUCAAAUAAAUCAUUACAAGUAUAAAUGCUGUGAAGGAGAAGCACAGAGUGCUUUCAGAUUGUAAUAUCCUAAUCUAGGGAACUAAAAAGGGGCUUCUCCACUGAGACCUGAAGGAUGAAUAGGACCACUCCUGGGAAGAGGCAGGAGAAAAGGAGGGAGUAUGGUGGGAAGUGAGACAGCAGAUUCCAAGGGCUGGAGGCAAGUGAAGGUGGGUGUUUUUAAGAAUUCAAAGUAGCCCAGCCCUAGUGGGCUAAUGGCUAAGCGGAGAGAACAGAGAGAUUGGAGAGGAGUAUGAGGAAAAAGACUUUGGCGGAGUGAACAAGAACCCAACUGUGAAGAACCUUGAGCACUUAUCCGGUGAGCCACAGGAAACCUCUGGAGGGCUCUGAGUAGAGUAUUCCUCAAAGAUGACUUUGUCUAUGGAUGCGAGGAGUAUUAGGGGUCAGGAUCAUGCAGGAAGGCUAAUUAGAGGGCCAUUCAAGUGAUCUAAGCCAAAGAUGAAGAUGGUACCAAAUACAGUGGUGGCAGGUAAGAGGAAGAGAAGGUAAAUGAUUUGAGAGCUGCUAAAAUAGGGAUUUUUCAAUUUUUUGGAAGUUAAUAUAUGAGAUGAAUACAAUUUGUCGGAAGUUUUACAUAUCAUUUGUAUAAUUUGUGCAGAAACUUCACUUGC
Molecule: long non-coding RNA, 2669 nt
Filed under: Homo sapiens (human)
Lineage: Eukaryota; Metazoa; Chordata; Mammalia; Primates; Hominidae
Description: HSALNT0309682
Source: RNAcentral